GCUGUUUGAAUUUUCUGGUACUGAUUAAAACCCAUUUCCUGGAGGUGGCAAUAGGUGGGAUAUAAUCCAAGAAAAAAGCUUACAAUUAGACAUAUAUAUAUAUAUAUAUGCAUGUAAAUAUAGUUGCAAUUAUCUCAAAACCAAGCCCAGGAAAAAGGAAUCAGCUUGAAGUGUUGGAAAAAGAUCAUAAUAGGGCUCUAUCCUACACUGUGGAAAUAUUUGCAAUUCACACAUAAAUAUAUAUAUAUAUGUAUCUAUCGGCCGAAGUAACAGCAACUGAAAAGUGUAUGUAUAUAUAUUGAAAAGCUUGGAUCAUUUCUGGGGAAGGAGAUUUAUUAGCACAGCAGUUCUGGUUUGGGG
Molecule: long non-coding RNA, 360 nt
Filed under: Carica papaya (papaya)
Lineage: Eukaryota; Viridiplantae; Streptophyta; Magnoliopsida; Brassicales; Caricaceae
Description: long non-coding RNA (CPAP_LNC006937)
Source: RNAcentral